Molecule: long non-coding RNA, 341 nt
Filed under: Fukomys damarensis (Damara mole-rat)
Lineage: Eukaryota; Metazoa; Chordata; Mammalia; Rodentia; Bathyergidae
Description: lncRNA (ENSFDAG00000022330.1)
Source: RNAcentral
CCCGAAACUCAGGGUGAGCCUGGCUCCACACAGGUUAGUGUCAGGCAGGACACAGCUAGUGCCUGCCACCAGGAAGCCAGGGUGCAAUGUGACUGUAAUGUUAACAUUUAACUUUUCACAGUUGGCCCAAACUCCACUUUCCUAGAAAGAGUCCUAGCCAAGCAGAUGUGCCUGAAGGCGGCAUGUGAGCAUGAGAAGCCACCAGACCUCAUAAGUGCUUCUCCAGAGCCACCACUGCAAAAAGCUGCCCAGGGACACAGGUGCUGCGAUACCCACUGCACAGACUGAAACAGGACAAAAGGUGCAAGGCUGCCAGCGCGCCCCUCCACACUCCCUCCUGC